UGCAGUCGAGCGGAAACGACACUAACAAUCCUUCGGGUGCGUUAAUGGACGUCGAGCGGCGGACGGGUGAGUAAUGCCUAGGAAAUUGCCUUGAUGUGGGGGAUAACCAUUGGAAACGAUGGCUAAUACCGCAUAAUGCCUACGGGCCAAAGAGGGGGACCUUCGGGCCUCUCGCGUCAAGAUACGCCUAGGUGGGAUUAGCUAGUUGGUGAGGUAAUGGCUCACCAAGGCGACGAUCCCUAGCUGGUCUGAGAGGAUGAUCAGCCACACUGGAACUGAGACACGGUCCAGAUUCCUACGGGAGGCAGCAGUGGGGAAUAUUGCACAAUGGGCGAAAGCCUGAUGCAGCCAUGCCGCGUGUAUGAAGAAGGCCUUCGGGUUGUAAAGUACUUUCAGUUGUGAGGAAGGGGGUAGUGUUAAUAGCGCUAUCUCUUGACGUUAGCAACAGAAGAAGCACCGGCUAACUCCGUGCCAGCAGCCGCGGUAAUACGGAGGGUGCGAGCGUUAAUCGGAAUUACUGGGCGUAAAGCGCAUGCAGGUGGUUCAUUAAGUCAGAUGUGAAAGCCCGGGGCUCAACCUCGGAACUGCAUUUGAAACUGGUGAACUAGAGUACUGUAGAGGGGGGUAGAAUUUCAGGUGUAGCGGUGAAAUGCGUAGAGAU
Molecule: ribosomal RNA, 661 nt
Filed under: uncultured Vibrio sp.
Lineage: Bacteria; Pseudomonadati; Pseudomonadota; Gammaproteobacteria; Vibrionales; Vibrionaceae
Description: bacterial SSU rRNA
Rfam family: Bacterial small subunit ribosomal RNA
Source: RNAcentral